Myotis lucifugus (little brown bat) is the source of this 35-nucleotide non-coding RNA. The record is from Rfam. Lineage: Eukaryota; Metazoa; Chordata; Mammalia; Chiroptera; Vespertilionidae.
CUGUCUCUUGCUUCAACAGUGUUUGGACCAAACAG